ACGGUAGCAUAUGAAUAAGGAUCGGCUAAUUCCGUGCCAGCAGCCGCGGUCAUACGGAAGAUCCAAGCGUUAUCCGGAAUUACUGGGCGUAAAGAGUUGCGUAGGUGGCAUAGUAAGUCUGUAGUGAAAGCGUGGGGCUCAACCCCAUAACCAUUAUGGAAACUGCUAAGCUAGAGGGCGAGAGAGGUUACUAGAAUUCCUAGUGUAGGAGUGAAAUCCGUAGAUAUUAGGAGGAAUACCGAUGGCGUAGGCAGGUAACUGGCUCGUCCCUGACACUAAGGCACGAAAGCGUGGGGAGCGACCGGGAUUAGAUACCCCGUUAGUCCACGCCGUAAACGAUGGAUGCUAGCUGUAGGACGUAUCGACCCGUUCUGUAGCGAAGCUAACGCGUUAAGCAUCCCGCCUGUGGAGUACGAGCGCAAGCUUAAAACAUAAAGGAAUUGACGGGGACCCGCACAAGCGGUGGAGCGUGUUCUUUAAUUCGAGGAUAAGCGAAGAACCUUACCCAGGCUUGACAUCCUUGGAAGGCUUCCGAAAGGAAACUGUGCCUUCGGGA
Molecule: ribosomal RNA, 556 nt
Filed under: uncultured bacterium
Lineage: Bacteria
Description: bacterial SSU rRNA
Rfam family: Bacterial small subunit ribosomal RNA
Source: RNAcentral